This 481-nucleotide ribosomal RNA is filed under the name uncultured bacterium. Its description in RNAcentral is "partial 16S ribosomal RNA". It matches the Rfam family "Bacterial small subunit ribosomal RNA", at positions 28 to 507 of the family's 1533-position model. The record is from RNAcentral.
GAUGAACGCUGGCGGCGUGCCUAACACAUGCAAGUCGAACGGAGAUUACGGACGGAAGUUUUCGGAUGGAAGCCUGUAAUUCUUAGUGGCGGACGGGUGAGUAACGCGUGGGCAACCUGCCCUAUACAGGGGGAUAGCAGCUGGAAACGGCUGGUAAGACCGCAUAAGUCGGUUAAAUCGCAUGAUUUGAUCGGGAAAUGAGCAAUCAGGUAUAGUAUGGGGCCGCGUCCGAUUAGCCAGUUGGUAGGGUAAAAGCCUACCAAUGCGACGAUCGGGAGCCGGGCGGGUGACGCGCCCCAUCAGGACUGAGCUACGGCCCAGCCUACUACGGGAGGCAACGGUGGGGAAUAUUGCACAAUGGGCUGAAGCCUGAUGCGGUGAAGCCGCGUGGGGGAUGACGGCCUUCGGGUUGUAAACCGCUUCCGCAUGAGAAGAAGCGUGAGUGACGGUAAUGGGUAAAGAAGCACCGGCUAACUACGUG